Molecule: long non-coding RNA, 965 nt
Filed under: Cavia porcellus (domestic guinea pig)
Lineage: Eukaryota; Metazoa; Chordata; Mammalia; Rodentia; Caviidae
Description: lncRNA (ENSCPOG00000036304.1)
Source: RNAcentral
CUGUUUAACAGAAUUGUGGUUCAGUUAAUAUAGAAAAGUCUUGAAUAGAAUUUAUAUUAUCUGAAUUGUAUUGUGAAAUAACUCUUAUUUUCUUUUUAGUGAUUGUAUCCUCUAAAGACAGUGAUGUUAUUGGCUUCAGACUGUUUGCCAAGUUAAAUGCUUUCUGUGUCACCAUUUGCAAUAAGAAGAGCAGUAUUGCUGAAAUCAGGAUACAAGGCCUCGACUCUUCCCUUUCUCUUCAGUCAAGGAAGCAGUCACUUUUUGCCAGACUGGAAAAUAUUAUUGUUACAGAUGUUGAUCCUAAGACAGUUCAUAAAAAAGCUGUGUCAAUAAUGGGAAAUGAAGUUUUUCGUUUUAACUUGGAUUUGUACCCAGAUGCGACUGAAGGGGAUUCAUACACUGACAUGUCCAAAGUGGAUGGCGUGGUGUCGCUGAAUGUUGGCUGCAUUCAGAUUGUCUAUCUUCAUAAGUUCCUUCUGUCCCUUUUGAACUUCCUGAACAAUUUCCAGACAGCCAAAGAGGCCCUGAGCGCAGCCACCGCGCAGGCUGCAGAAAAGGCCGCCACCAGUAUGAAAGACCUUGCCCAGCGGAGUUUGCGCUUCUCUGUCAGCAUUAAUUUGAAAGCACCCGUUAUUGUCAUCCCACAGUCUUCUGUCUCCAGCAACGCUGUUGUGGUGGACCUUGGUUUGAUCAGAGUUCAGAACCAGUUCAGUCUUGUGUCUGGGGAAGGGUCUGUAAAUCCUCCUGUGAUCGAUAGAAUGGAUGUGCAGCUCACGGACCUGAAGCUGUCCAGGACAGUGAUCCAACCAGGCACCUCCCAGCCUGAUAUUCAGCUGUUGCACCCAAUUAACUUUGAGUUUUUUGUAAAUCGAAAUCUACCUGCAAGUUGGUAUCAUAAGGUACCUGUUGUGGAAAUUAAAGGACAUCUUGAUACAAUGAAUAAUACUGUCGGAAAAUCUUGGUGA